UCCCCGUCUCCCUCCUCGCCUCACUCUUCUCUUGCACCAAGCUGCUUGAUUUAGAGCUUCACCAUAUCUCUUCCAAUCAAGGUGUCUAUUUCUCUCCCUAUUUUCCCAAUCUACAUUUCUCUCUAUCUCUGUGGAAAAAAACCCUAGAUCUCGCCGCUGCCAGAGAGUCGAAGCUCCGCCCUUUGAGCUUCAAUCCGCCUUGCCCAUCGCCUCCUCUCGGCGCCUCCACCUAGAUCCCUCUGGUUUUUAAAAAAAAAUUCACCUUCAGAGAUUGAGUAAAAAUAUAUAAAGGCUGUUGGUGAUCGGUAUAAAGGCAAAACAAAAAAGGUAUGAAUAAAAUAAUGGUUCAAAAUUGUGCAACGCAUAAUUUUAAAGCAUUUGGUUUUGUGGUGCAAGGCUUUUGGUGUUUAAGGUAUUGUCAAAGAGUAUGCAGACUUGGGGGAUAAAAAUUAUAAAUGUACUUAUUGUGGUGCUUAUUUUUGGUUAAAAGAAUCUCUUAAACAAAGAUGCACAAAAAAUCAACUUGUUUUUACUCUUUGCUGUCAACAAGGAAAAAUAAGCCUUCCAAUUUCAAAACCAGCUCCAUAUUUAUUAGAUUUAUUGCUUGAUCCAAAUGGAGGUCACAAAAGUUCAUCGUUUCGAGAAAAUAUUAGAGCUUACAAUUCCAUGUUUUCCUUUACUUCUAUGGGUGCCAAAAUUGAUCAUUCAAUCAAUGAUGGAUCAAGUCCUUACAUUUUUAAAAUUAGUGGUCAAGUUUGUCAUUUAAUGGGCUCUCUUUUACCUCCUGAUAAUCAGCCUCCAAAAUUUGCUCAGUUAUAUGUUUAUGAUACGUACAAUGAAGUACAAAAUCG
RNAcentral lists this small RNA (851 nucleotides) under Malus domestica (apple). Its description in RNAcentral is "sRNA MD14G0172400". Lineage: Eukaryota; Viridiplantae; Streptophyta; Magnoliopsida; Rosales; Rosaceae. The record is from RNAcentral.